GUUCAUUACUUUAGAACCAUUUGUUGAAAUGACCAUUUUUUCUCCAUUGAAUUGCCUUUUGCCUUUGCACAUCUGUUCAAAAAUCAGCUGACUCUAUUUGCCUGGGUCUAUUUCUAGACUCUGUUCUGUGUCAUUGAUUUACAUGUCUAUCUUUUUGCCAACACCACACUGUAUUUUUAGUGACAGAGCAUUGCUCUGUUGCCCAGGCUAGAGUGUAUUGGCACAAUCAGCUUACUCAUUGCUGCCUUGAACUCUCAAGAUCAAGUGGUUCUCCUGCCUCAGCCUUCUAAAGUAGCUGGGAUUACAGGUGCAAGGCACAGCACCCAGCUCCACACUAUCUUGAUUACUGCAGCUUUCAAAGACAGAGUUUAGUUUUGUUGCCCAGGCUGGAGUGCAGUGGUGUGCUCAUAACUGUCUGUAGCCUUGACCUCCUGUGCUCAAGUGAUCCUCCUGCAUCAGUUUCCCAAGUAGCUGGGACUACAGGUAUGCACCACCACACCCAGCCAAUUUAGACAAUUUUUUUUAUAUAGAAAUUGAGUCUUUGUUGCCCAGGCUGGUCUCAAACACCUAGGCUCUUGCAGUCCUCCUGCCUCUACCUCCCAAAGUGCUG
This 610-nucleotide long non-coding RNA is filed under the name Callithrix jacchus (white-tufted-ear marmoset). RNAcentral's name for it is "lncRNA (ENSCJAG00000083583.1)". Lineage: Eukaryota; Metazoa; Chordata; Mammalia; Primates; Cebidae. The record is from RNAcentral.